This 758-nucleotide ribosomal RNA is filed under the name Phormidesmis molle MMA66. RNAcentral's name for it is "bacterial SSU rRNA". It matches the Rfam family "Bacterial small subunit ribosomal RNA", at positions 112 to 904 of the family's 1533-position model. The record is from RNAcentral. Lineage: Bacteria; Bacillati; Cyanobacteriota; Cyanophyceae; Leptolyngbyales; Leptolyngbyaceae.
AUCGCGUGAGAAUCUGCCUUUAGGACGGGAACAACAACUGGAAACGGUUGCUAAAGCCCGAUGUGCCCUUCGGGGUGAAAUACUUGUAGCCUGAAGAUGAGCUCGCGUCAGAUUAGCUAGUUGGUUAGGUAACGGCUGACCAAGGCGACGAUCUGUAACUGGUCUGAGAGGAUGACCAGUCACACUGGGACUGAGACACGGCCCAGACUCNUACGGGAGGCAGCAGUGGGGAUACCGCAAUGGGCGAAAGCCUGACGGACAAUACCGCGUGAGGGAGGAAGGCUCUUGGGUCGUAAACCUCAUGCAUCAUAGAAGAAACAAAUGACGGUACCUGAUGAAUCAGCAUCGGCUAACUCCGUGCCAGCAGCCGCGGUAAUACGGAGGAUGCAAGCGUUAUCCGGAAUUAUUGGGCGUAAAGCGUCCGCAGGUGGUACUGAAAGUUUGCUGUCAAAGCGCGGAGCUUAACUUCGUACCGGCAGUGAAAACUCCAAGACUAGAGUAUGGUAGGGGUCACGGGAAUUCCCAGUGUAGCGGUGAAAUGCGUAGAGAUUGGGAAGAACACCAGCGGCGAAAGCGCGUGACUGGGCCUGAACUGACACUCAUGGACGAAAGCUAGGGGAGCGAUAGGGAUUAGAUACGCCUGUAGUCCUAGCCGUAUACGAUGACAACUAGGUGUUGCCCGUAUCGACCCGGGCAGUGCCGUAGCCAACGCGUUAAGUUGUCCGCCUGCAGAGUACGCACGCAAGUGUGAAACUCUA